Molecule: unclassified non-coding RNA, 387 nt
Filed under: plant metagenome
Description: partial contains 5.8S ribosomal RNA, internal transcribed spacer 2, and large subunit ribosomal RNA
Rfam family: 5.8S ribosomal RNA (bases 1-105)
Source: RNAcentral
GAAAUGCGAUACGUAAUGUGAAUUGCAGAAUUCAGUGAAUCAUCGAAUCUUUGAACGAAUAUUGCGCUAUUUGGUAUUCCGAAGAGCAUGCUUGUUUGAGUAUCAGUAAACACCUCAACCCUACUACCUUUCUCGGGCUAGUCGGGCUGGAUUUGAGCAAACCCAACAAAUAGUCUUUGGCGGGUUGCUUGAAAUGCAGGUGCAGCUGUAACAAGAACAGACUGAGCUAAAAGCAUAUCCAUUUAGUCCGCAUUUGUGGAUUAUCUAUUUGCUGCAGCUACUCUAAGGUCGUCUUGUAUGAGCUGACUGAUGCAGGAUUUGUAGCUCCUCUCUGAGGACUUCAAAACUCGAUCUCAAAUCAAGUAAGACUACCCGCUGAACUUAAGC